Molecule: unclassified non-coding RNA, 405 nt
Filed under: Hevea brasiliensis (rubber tree)
Lineage: Eukaryota; Viridiplantae; Streptophyta; Magnoliopsida; Malpighiales; Euphorbiaceae
Source: RNAcentral
AUGGCUUCUGGGGUGAUGUUGGCUGCUAGCUUUGAUCUUAUACAAGAAGGGCAGGAACAUGGUGCGGGAAAUUGGGUUGUAAUUGGGAUUUUAGCUGGUGGAAUUUUUAUUUGGCUUUGUAAGAAGUUUCUUGAACAGUAUGGUGAAGUGAGUAUGUUAGAUAUAAAAGGUGCAGAUGCAACUAAAGUUGUUCUUAUAAUUGGGAUAAUGACUCUUCAUUCAUUUGGUGAGGGCUCUGGUGUUGGUGUUUCUUUUGCUGGGUCAAAGGGGUUCUCUCAAGGUCUUUUGGUGACGUUAGCUAUCGCUGUGCAUAACAUACCCGAGGGAUUAGCUGUAAGUAUGGUACUUGCCUCAAGGGGUGUCUCACCACAGAAUGCCUUGUUAUGGAGUGUGAUUACAUCAUUA